GCCAAAGUGGUGGAAUUGGUAGACACGCCAUCUUGAGGGGGUGGUGUCCUAAUGGACGUGCGGGUUCAAGUCCCGCCUUUGGCACCA
RNAcentral lists this transfer RNA (87 nucleotides) under Endozoicomonas sp. (ex Botrylloides leachii). Its description in RNAcentral is "tRNA-Leu". It matches the Rfam family "tRNA". Rfam says of the family: Transfer RNA (tRNA) molecules are approximately 80 nucleotides in length. Their secondary structure includes four short double-helical elements and three loops (D, anti-codon, and T loops). Further hydrogen bonds mediate the characteristic L-shaped molecular structure. tRNAs have two regions of fundamental functional importance: the anti-codon, which is responsible for specific mRNA codon recognition, and the 3' end, to which the tRNAs corresponding amino acid is attached (by aminoacyl-tRNA synthetases). tRNAs cope with the degeneracy of the genetic code in two manners: having more than one tRNA (with a specific anti-codon) for a particular amino acid; and 'wobble' base-pairing, i.e. permitting non-standard base-pairing at the 3rd anti-codon position. Lineage: Bacteria; Pseudomonadati; Pseudomonadota; Gammaproteobacteria; Oceanospirillales; Endozoicomonadaceae. The record is from RNAcentral.